RNAcentral lists this transfer RNA (64 nucleotides) under Curculionoidea sp. 21 KM-2017. Its description in RNAcentral is "tRNA-Leu". Lineage: Eukaryota; Metazoa; Arthropoda; Insecta; Coleoptera. The record is from RNAcentral.
GUUAUUUUGGCAGAGUAGUGCAGUAAAUUUAGAAUUUAUUUAAGUAAGAUUAUUACAUAUAACA